RNAcentral lists this ribosomal RNA (379 nucleotides) under uncultured eukaryote. Its description in RNAcentral is "partial 18S ribosomal RNA". It matches the Rfam family "Eukaryotic small subunit ribosomal RNA", at positions 592 to 976 of the family's 1831-position model. The record is from RNAcentral.
CAAUAGCGUAUAUUAAAGUUGUUGCGGUUAAAAAGCUCGUAGUUGGAUUUCUGCCGAGGACGACCGGUCCGCCCUCUGGGUGUGUAUCUGGUUUGGCCUGGGCAUCUUCUUGGAGAACGUAGCUGCACUUGACUGUGUGGUGCGGUGUCCAGGACUUUUACUUUGAGGAAAUUAGAGUGUUUCAAGCAGGCACACGCCUUGAAUACAUUAGCAUGGAAUAAUAAGGUAGGACCUCGGUUCUAUUUUGUUGGUUUCUAGAGCUGAGGUAAUGAUUAAUAGGGAUAGUUGGGGGCAUUCGUAUUUAACUGUCAGAGGUGAAAUUCUUGGAUUGUUAAAGACGGACUACUGCGAAAGCAUUUGCCAAGGAUGUUUUCAUUGA